UCGAGAAUUUUUCUCAAUGGGGGAAACCCUGAAGGAGCGACGCCGCGUGGAGGAUGAAGGCUUUCGGGUUGUAAACUCCUGUCAUUUGGGAACAAUGGUUACGCGUUAACUGCGCGUGACUUGAUAGUACCAGAAGAGGAAGAGACGGCUAACUCUGUGCCAGCAGCCGCGGUAAUACAGAGGUCUCAAGCGUUGUUCGGAUUCAUUGGGCGUAAAGGGUGCGUAGGUGGCGUGGUAAGUCGGGUGUGAAAUCUCGGAGCUUAACUCCGAAAUUGCAUUUGAUACUGCCGUGCUUGAGGACUGGAGAGGAGACUGGAAUUCAUGGUGUAGCAGUGAAAUGCGUAGAGAUCAUGAGGAAGACCAGUGGCGAAGGCGGGUCUCUGGACAGUUCCUGACACUGAGGCACGAAGGCCAGGGGAGCAAACGG
Molecule: ribosomal RNA, 427 nt
Filed under: uncultured bacterium
Lineage: Bacteria
Description: bacterial SSU rRNA
Rfam family: Bacterial small subunit ribosomal RNA
Source: RNAcentral